AGACGCUAUGGGUGGCUGGGGGCAUGUGCCCUGGGUGACGCUUUAGAAGGGGUGCCACUGGGUAUGUGGAUGGAGAACAUCUCCCUUGGGGGAACAGCUCUCCUA
This is a long non-coding RNA of Nanorana parkeri, 105 nucleotides long. RefSeq lists it as uncharacterized. The record is from RefSeq and is a predicted model, not a curated record. The transcript is spliced from 3 exons. NCBI's taxonomy places the organism in Eukaryota, Metazoa, Chordata, Amphibia, Anura, Dicroglossidae.